GGCCCGGUAGCUCAGUUGGUCAGAGCAGCGGACUCAUAAUCCGUCGCGCGCUGGUUCGAGUCCAGCCCGGGCCA
This 74-nucleotide transfer RNA is filed under the name Solirubrobacteraceae bacterium. RNAcentral's name for it is "tRNA-Ile". It matches the Rfam family "tRNA". From Rfam's summary of the family: Transfer RNA (tRNA) molecules are approximately 80 nucleotides in length. Lineage: Bacteria; Bacillati; Actinomycetota; Thermoleophilia; Solirubrobacterales; Solirubrobacteraceae. The record is from RNAcentral. RNAcentral also lists the same sequence under 2 other names.